Molecule: ribosomal RNA, 253 nt
Filed under: uncultured bacterium
Lineage: Bacteria
Description: partial 16S ribosomal RNA
Rfam family: Bacterial small subunit ribosomal RNA
Source: RNAcentral
UACGUAGGGUGCGAGCGUUAAUCGGAAUUACUGGGCGUAAAGCGUGCGCAGGCGGCGCGUUAAGACAGGUGUGAAAUCCCCGGGCUUAACCUGGGAACUGCGUUUCUAACUGGCAGGCUUGAGUGUGGCAGAGGGGGGUGGAAUUCCACGUGUAGCAGUGAAAUGCGUAGAGAUGUGGAGGAACACCGAUGGCGAAGGCAGCCCCCUGGGCUAACACUGACGCUCAUGCACGAAAGCGUGGGGAGCAAACAGG